RNAcentral lists this long non-coding RNA (1045 nucleotides) under Struthio camelus australis. RNAcentral's name for it is "lncRNA (ENSSCUG00000000748.1)". The record is from RNAcentral. Lineage: Eukaryota; Metazoa; Chordata; Aves; Struthioniformes; Struthionidae.
NNNNNNNNNNNNNNNNNNNNNNNNNNNNNNNNNNNNNNNNNNNNNNNNNNUGGCGCGGGGGGAGGUGGGGGGGGAGACCCUUGUGGCCGGCCUCUCCUCGCCUGGGUCUCCCCCUCUCUCUCCAUCCCUCUCUCCAUCUAUCCCUGCCUCCAUCUCCCCUCUCCCGCCACCGUUCCUCCAUCCCUCCUUCCAUCUCCCCAUCCCUCUCUCCCUCUAUCCUCUCUGUCCAUCCAUCUCUCCAUCCCUCCUCCAUCUCUCCAUCCCUCCUUCCAUCUCCCCAUCCCUCUCUCCCUCUAUCCUCUCUGUCCAUCCAUCUCUCCAUCCCUCCUCCAUCUCUCCAUCCCUCCUUCCAUCUCCCCAUCCCUCUCUCCCUCUAUCCUCUCUGUCCAUCCAUCUCUCCAUCCCUCCUCCAUCUCUCCAUCCCUCCUUCCAUCUCCCCAUCCCUCUCUCCCUCUAUCCUCUCUGUUCAUCCAUCUCUCCAUCCCUCCUCCAUCUCUCCAUCCCUCCUUCCAUCUCCCAUCCCUCUCUCCCUCUAUCCUCUCUGUUCAUCCAUCUCUCCAUCCCUCCUCCAUCUCUCCAUCCCUCUCUCCCUCUAGCCUCUCUGUUCAUCCCUCCAUCUCUCUCUCCAUCCCUCCAUCCUCUUUUCAUCACGCCACCCAUCCCUCUCAUCCACCGCCACCUCCUGCCAUCCUUCUCCCUCCCUCCUACACCUCCCUCCAUCUCCUCUACCCCUCCGCUGCUCCCUCAUCCGUCCCACCAUCCCUCUCUCCCUGCCUCCGUCCCUCUCCCUUCCUCCCUCCAUCCCUUCCUCUCUUCCUCCAUCUCCUCCUGCCAUCUCUUCUCCUCCCUCCCUCUCGCCAUCCCUCCCACGCUCUGCCCGGCCCUCUCUCCUUUCCCUUCUCUCUCCCUCCAUUUCCUCUCUCCAUCCCGCCCUCCCUCCACCCUCUCCCCGUCCCGCACCCACAUCCGCGUGUGCGAGGAGGGGGCGCAGCGGGCAAGGACCGGGGUGCGGGAGGUGGAACAGCGAGCCCUGUGCAGGGUGCCG